UGGCACCUCGAUGUCGGCUCAUCACAUCCUGGGGCUGAAGUAGGUCCCAAGGGUAUGGCUGUUCGCCAUUUAAAGUGGUACGCGAGCUGGGUUUAGAACGUCGUGAGACAGUUCGGUCCCUAUCUGCCGUGGGCGCUGGAGAAUUGAGGGGGGCUGCUCCUAGUACGAGAGGACCGGAGUGGACGCAUCACUGGUGUUCGGGUUGUCAUGCCAAUGGCACUGCCCGGUAGCUAAAUGCGGAAGAGAUAAGUGCUGAAAGCAUCUAAGCACGAAACUUGCCCCGAGAUGAGUUCUCCCUGAGACUAUAAGUCUCCUGAAGGAACGUUAAAGACGAUGACGUUGAUAGGCCGGGUGUGUAAGCGCAGCGAUGCGUUGAGCUAACCGGUACUAAUGAACCGUGAGGCUUAACCUUACAACGCCGAAG
RNAcentral lists this ribosomal RNA (424 nucleotides) under Klebsiella pneumoniae. Its description in RNAcentral is "partial 23S ribosomal RNA". It matches the Rfam family "Bacterial large subunit ribosomal RNA", at positions 2519 to 2925 of the family's 2925-position model. The record is from RNAcentral. Lineage: Bacteria; Pseudomonadati; Pseudomonadota; Gammaproteobacteria; Enterobacterales; Enterobacteriaceae.